Non-coding RNA from Acanthosepion pharaonis, 112 nucleotides. The record is from the annotation of a GenBank genome assembly. Lineage: Eukaryota; Metazoa; Mollusca; Cephalopoda; Sepiida; Sepiidae.
UUACGGCCAUAUCACGUUGAAAUACCUGUUCACGUAUGAUCACCAAAGCUAAGCAACAUCAAGCCUGGUCAGUACUGGAUGGGUAACUGCUUUGGAAUACCAAGUGCUGUAA